AUGAACGCUGGCGGCGUGCCUCAUACCUGCAAGUCGAGCGCACGGACGAGAAGCUUGCUUCUCUGAUGUUAUCGGCGGACGGGUGAGUAACACGUGGAUAACCUACCUAUAAGACUGGGAUAACUUCGGGAAACCGGAGCUAAUACCGGAUAAUAUUUUGAACCGCAUGGUUCAAAAGUGAAAGACGGUCUUGCUGUCACUUAUAGAUGGAUCCGCGCUGCAUUAGCUAGUUGGUAAGGUAACGGCUUACCAAGGCAACGAUGCAUAGCCGACCUGAGAGGGUGAUCGGCCACACUGGAACUGAGACACGGUCCAGACUCCUACGGGAGGCAGCAGUAGGGAAUCUUCCGCAAUGGGCGAAAGCCUGACGGAGCAACGCCGCGUGAGUGAUGAAGGUCUUCGGAUCGUAAAACUCUGUUAUUAGGGAAGAACAUAUGUGUAAGUAACUGUGCACAUCUUGACGGUACCUAAUCAGAAAGCCACGGCUAACUACGUG
RNAcentral lists this ribosomal RNA (496 nucleotides) under uncultured bacterium. Its description in RNAcentral is "partial 16S ribosomal RNA". It matches the Rfam family "Bacterial small subunit ribosomal RNA", at positions 29 to 507 of the family's 1533-position model. The record is from RNAcentral.